This 320-nucleotide small nuclear RNA is filed under the name Chinchilla lanigera (long-tailed chinchilla). Its description in RNAcentral is "7SK RNA (ENSCLAG00000021646.1)". It matches the Rfam family "7SK RNA". Rfam says of the family: 7SK was discovered as an abundant small nuclear RNA in the mid-70s but a possible function has only recently been suggested. Two independent studies have found that 7SK RNA binds the CDK9/cyclin T complex (known as elongation factor P-TEFb). P-TEFb activates transcription by phosphorylating the C-terminal domain of RNA polymerase II. The record is from Rfam by way of RNAcentral. Lineage: Eukaryota; Metazoa; Chordata; Mammalia; Rodentia; Chinchillidae.
GGAUGUGAGGGCUAUCUGGCUGCGACAUCUGUCACCCCAUUGAUCGCCAGGGUUGAUUCAGCUGAUCUGGCUGGCUAGGCGGGUGUCCUCUUCCUCUCUCACAGCCGCAUGUGCUUCCCCCUCGAAACUGUGCGCUCGAUCGACGAGAACGACCACUCCGGAUAGAGGAGGACCGUUCCUCAGUCAAGGGAAUACGAGUAGCUGCACUCCCCUGCUAGAACCUUCAAAUAAGCUCUCAAAACACUGAAAUUGAAUUUUAAGGUAGAAAUCAAGUGAGCACUAUGUAUCUGGUCUCUGUUUUAACAAAAUUGUUCAUGAUA